Non-coding RNA from Pelobates cultripes (western spadefoot toad), 69 nucleotides. Lineage: Eukaryota; Metazoa; Chordata; Amphibia; Anura; Pelobatidae. The record is from the annotation of a GenBank genome assembly.
UAAAGAGCAGCAACGUUUCGACCUGCUAAGAGAGACAUCUUAGCAGGUCGAAACGUUGCUGCUCUUUGU